AAAAGCAAAGGGAGAGAGGAGAGUCACUUUAGACCUUUUAGAAAACAUGGAGUUGUUCCUUUGGCUACGUAUAUGCGAAUCUAUAAGAGAGGUGACAUUGUAGACAUCAAGGGAAUGGGAACUGUUCAAAAAGGAAGCCCAACAAGUGUUACCAUGGCAAAGCUGGAAGAGUCUACAGUGUUCCCCAGCAUGCCGUUGGCUUUGUUGUAAACCAACAAGUUAAGGGCAAGAUUCCUGCCAAGAGAACUGAUAUGUGUAUUGAGCACAUGAAGCACUCUAAGAGCCAAGAGAGCUUCCUGACACGCGUGAAGGACAAUGAUCAGAAAAAGAAACAAGCCAAAGAGAAAGGUACCUGGGUGCAACUGAAGUGCCAGCCUGCUCCACCCAGAGAAGCACACUUUGUGAGAACCAGUGGGAAGGGCCAGUGCUUCUGGGACCUUUUCCCUGUGAAUUCAUGGCA
RNAcentral lists this long non-coding RNA (460 nucleotides) under Homo sapiens (human). Its description in RNAcentral is "non-protein coding lnc-CARS2-1:1". Lineage: Eukaryota; Metazoa; Chordata; Mammalia; Primates; Hominidae. The record is from RNAcentral.